UACAGAGGGUGCGAGCGUUAAUCGGAAUUACUGGGCGUAAAGCGCGCGUAGGCGGCUUUGCAAGUCGGGUGUGAAAUCCCCAGGCUUAACCUGGGAACUGCAUUCGAGACUGCAUCGCUAGAGUAUCGGAGAGGGAAGUGGAAUUUCAGGUGUAGCGGUGAAAUGCGUAGAUAUCUGAAGGAACAUCAGUGGCGAAAGCGACUUCCUGGACGAAUACUGACGCUCAUGUGCGAAAGCGUGGGGAGCAAACAGGAUUAGAAACCCCCGUAGUCC
RNAcentral lists this ribosomal RNA (273 nucleotides) under uncultured bacterium. Its description in RNAcentral is "partial 16S ribosomal RNA". It matches the Rfam family "Bacterial small subunit ribosomal RNA", at positions 524 to 796 of the family's 1533-position model. The record is from RNAcentral.